GGUUUGACACAGAUGAAUGUGUAACUUCUAUUAAUAAUAAAAGGAAUACACAUACAUUUACAUAUUGCUAUAUUAAACUGAAAGUACAGUUAAAAUAAAAAAUGAUUAGAGUUAUCUCCCCUUGCAUAUUUUAAGGAAGUAUAUGGAAACAAAAUAAAGUAACUACAUCUAUAUCAAGUAAGUUAAUUAUCUCCCUUUAAAUAUUUCAGAUCACGAAUAUCUUCCUUUAUGCACAUUCUAUGGUCAUGUACUUCAACUGUGUAAAGUUUCAUUAAUAUUGCUACAGUCAUUUAGGAGGAGUUGUGCUUACAAGACCUAAUGCCACAUAUUGUGAUAUUUAAACUUAAUAAUUUCAAUUAUCUCCCUUGAAAAAAACAUCUGAUAAGAAAUAUCCUCCUUCCUCAUGUCUAAAGAUGUAUACAACAUCUGUGUAAAGCUUCAUCAACAUUGAUUAAUCCAUUUAGAAGAAGGUGUGCUUACAAGACUUGUUGCCAUUUAUUGCUAUAUUUAACAAAGUCAAUUCAAUUAUCUCCCUUGAAAUAAUUUCGACGAGAAAUAUUUUCCUUCAUGAACAUCCUCAGGUUGUGUACUACAAUCGUAUCAAGUUUUAUCAAUAUUGGUCCAUCCAUUAGGAAGAUGUUGUGCAUGUAUACGAGACUUAUCAGAUGUAUACACCCCCCCCAAAAAAAAAAAAAAAACGAAUUCUGAACAAGAGUGGACACACUGAAAUGUCUCGCCUGUUCUAGUGUUCAUAAUAUAAUUUAUGUUGAAAGUAUAAAAAAGCAUUGUAUACCACAAGCAUUAAUUAACUGUACUUGAGAUGAAGGCGACACAAAAAUCACAUCAUGAGGAAGAUGUGUACUAAGUUUCAAAUUGAUGUGCCUCUAACUUCAUCAAAAACCACCUUGACCAAAAACUUAAACUUGAUGUGGGAUGGAAAAUCAAAC
Molecule: long non-coding RNA, 947 nt
Filed under: Mytilus galloprovincialis (Mediterranean mussel)
Lineage: Eukaryota; Metazoa; Mollusca; Bivalvia; Mytilida; Mytilidae
Source: RNAcentral